This 1077-nucleotide long non-coding RNA is filed under the name Gossypium barbadense (sea-island cotton). RNAcentral describes it as "long non-coding RNA (GBAR_LNC010917)". The record is from RNAcentral. Lineage: Eukaryota; Viridiplantae; Streptophyta; Magnoliopsida; Malvales; Malvaceae.
UUUUGAUUCGUGUUUUAAAAAAAAAAUUUAGAAAGUCCUCUGAAAGAGGAAGGAAAAGGGGCCCUCGGAGCUCUGGCCAAGCCUCCGUCAUCGGGCGGUUCACGCGCUUUACGUGCCCACGCGCCGCCCUUUUCGCCGUCGUACACGACCUUCAGAGGUUAGAGACCUCGAUUUCUGACACAAGAUGAAAGGUAAAACCCUUUUUCACACUUUAAAACUAUUUAUCAAGUUGUUUGUGUAUGUAUAUGCUUUGAAUAUGAAAAAUAAAAAUAAAAUAGAAGAUUCACCUCUUAAAAAAAAACUGCUUGUAUUUGCUUUUUUUCUGCCUCCAUAUUCGUAUCUUUUAUAGGUUACAAAAAGGGCUUUUAUAGCCACUGUUUCUAUUACAUUUUGGGAAAGAAAUAUUUUAUUUCUUUCCAUAUCUAUUUUGUUCGUUUGCUGCUGUUUCUUUCCUUCUUUUGCAGGUAACGCCGAAAAAUUUGGCGGUGAUGGAGGCUUGACGAUGGUGACGACAGACCAGUCACUGACUGCGCACUGGCUUGCAGCGCUGAUGGAGGGUAGCUGGAUCGACGAACGGACACGAGUCGGAGGGGCGUGACUCUUGGUCUGAUUACGGCGCAAACCCUAACUAGGGUUCCCUGAAGCCGAAGAUAGAUUGGGCCAAUUGGGCCGAUUAAGUCCUGGGUUCAGGGGUAGGGUGUAAAUGGGUCUACUGGGAAAUUCUAAUUUUAGGCCUACGGUCUGUUGUAAAUGGACUGUUUAAAUAUUUAUUUAUUAUUUUUUAUUUUUUAAGGCUCGGGCAGAUUUGGGCUAUUACAGCCAUUGUUUAUUAUCAACCCGUUCCGACUCAGAAAUUCUGAGUUCAUUAUUUAUUUAAUAUUAAAAUGUAAAAAAUAUUAUUUAUGUAAUUUAACUUAGACUCAAUGAUUUACUUGGUUCUCUAAUUUUACAAAAAAAAGUCAUUUUAGCCCAUAGUUUAACUUGUCUUUUAGCCAUUAAACUUGUGGUCUUUGUUAAAUAACCCCAAAAUGGAUAAAAAAAUUAACGUCUGUUAACUUUGCUAAUGUGGCAUCCACG